UAGGGAAUCUUCCGCAAUGGGCGAAAGCUUGCCGGAGCAACGCCGCGUGAGUGAUGAAGGUCUUCGGAUCGUAAAACUCUGUUAUUAGGGAAGAACAAAUGUGUAAGUAACUAUGCACGUCUUGACGGUACCUAAUCAGAAAACCACGGCUAACUACGUGCCAGCAGCCGCGGUAAUACGUAGGUGGCAAGCGUUAUCCGGAAUUAUUGGGCGUAAAGCGCGCGUAGGCGGUUUUUUAAGUCUGAUGUGAAAGCCCACGGCUCAACCGUGGAGGGUCAGUGGAAACUGGAAAACUUGAGUGCAGAAGAGGAAAGUGGAAUUCCAUGUGUAGCGGUGAAAUGCGCAGAGAUAUGGAGGAACACCAGUGGCGAAGGCGACUUUCUGGUCUGUAACUGACGCUGAUGUGCGAAAGCGUGGGGAUCAAACAGG
This 429-nucleotide ribosomal RNA is filed under the name Actinomycetes bacterium. RNAcentral's name for it is "Actinobacteria bacterium partial 16S ribosomal RNA". It matches the Rfam family "Bacterial small subunit ribosomal RNA", at positions 355 to 776 of the family's 1533-position model. Lineage: Bacteria; Bacillati; Actinomycetota; Actinomycetes. The record is from RNAcentral.